This 460-nucleotide ribosomal RNA is filed under the name uncultured bacterium. Its description in RNAcentral is "partial 16S ribosomal RNA". It matches the Rfam family "Bacterial small subunit ribosomal RNA", at positions 338 to 795 of the family's 1533-position model. The record is from RNAcentral.
CCUACGGGAGGCAGCAGUGGGGAAUAUUGGUCAAUGGGCGCGAGCCUGAACCAGCCAAGUAGCGUGAAGGAUGACUGCCCUAGGGGUUGUAAACUUCUUUUAUGUGGGAAUAAGGUGUUGCACGUGUGCCUUUUUGUAUGUACUUUAUGAAUAAGGGUCGGCUAACUCCGUGCCAGCAGCCGCGGUAAUACGGUGGAUCCGAGCGUUAUCCGGAUUUAUUGGGUUUAAAGGGAGCGUAGAUUGGUUGUUAAGUCAGUUGUGAAAGUUUGCGGCUCAACCGGAAAAUUGCAGUUGAUACUGGCAGUCUUGAGUACAGUAGAGGUGGGCGGAAUUCGUGGUGUAGCGGUGAAAUGCUUAGAUAUCACGAAGAACUCCGAUUGCGAAGGCAGCUUACUAAACUGCAACUGACACUGAGGCGCGAAAGCGUGGGUAGCAAACAGGAUUAGAUACCCCAGUAGUC